Molecule: ribosomal RNA, 289 nt
Filed under: uncultured prokaryote
Description: partial 16S ribosomal RNA
Rfam family: Bacterial small subunit ribosomal RNA
Source: RNAcentral
UACGUAGGGGGCGAGCGUUGUCCAGAGUUACUGGGCGUAAAGAGCGUGUAGGCGGUUGAAAAAGUCAGGUGUGAAAUUCUUCGGCUCAACCGAGGGGCUGCGCUUGAAACUUUUCGACUGGAGUUUGGGAGGGGCAACCGGAAUUCCUGGUGUAACGGUGAAAUGUGUAGAUAUCAGGAGGAACACCCGUGGCGAAGGCGGGUUGCUGGACCAAAACUGACGCUGAGACGCGAAAGCGUGGGUAGCAAACAGGAUUAGAUACCCUGGUAGUCCCUGAGCGGGCUGGCAA